GAUAGAACGCUAGCGGCAGGCUUAAUACAUGCAAGGUCGAGGGGCAUCAAGGUACACGAAAGUGUAUUGUUGGCGACCGGCGGACGGGUGAGUAAUAGGUAGGUAACCUACCUCAUACUGAGGCAUAGCUGGGAGAAAUUCCAGGUAAUUCCUCAUGAGGUUAUAUGACACAUGUGAUAUAAUCAAAGGUAUCGCAAGGUACUGGUAUGAGAUGGGCUUACUGACCAUUAGCUAGUUGGUGAGAUAAGAGCUCACCAAGGCGAAGAUGGUUAGGGGUUUGAGAGAGAGAUCCCCCACAUUGGAACUGAGAUACGGUCCAGACUCCUACGGGAGGCAGCAGUAGGGAAUAUUGGGCAAUGGGCGGAAGCCUGACCCAGCCAUGCCGCGUGAGGGAAGAAGGCCUUCGGGUUGUAAACCUCUGUCAUGGGGGAAGAAGUAAGUGACGGUACCCCAAGAGGAAGCCCCUGCUAACUACGUG
RNAcentral lists this ribosomal RNA (478 nucleotides) under uncultured bacterium. RNAcentral's name for it is "bacterial SSU rRNA". It matches the Rfam family "Bacterial small subunit ribosomal RNA", at positions 31 to 507 of the family's 1533-position model. The record is from RNAcentral.